AAUGAACGCUGGCGGCGUGCCUAACACAUGCAAGUCGAGCGAGAAAGUCCCCUUCGGGGGGCGAGUAAAGCGGCGCACGGGUGAGUAACGCGUGGGUAACCUGCCCUAGAGUGGGGGAUAACCAGCCGAAAGGCUGACUAAUCCCGCAUACGACCGGCAGACACAAGUCUGCUGGGGAAAGAUGGCCUCUGCUUGCAAGCUAUCGCUCUUGGAUGGGCCUGCGUUGGAUUAGCUAGUUGGUGAGGUAAUGGCUCACCAAGGCUGCGAUCCAUAGCUGGUUUGAGAGGACGACCAGCCACACUGGAACUGAGACACGGUCCAGACUCCUACGGGAGGCAGCAGUGGGGAAUAUUGCACAAUGGGCGAAAGCCUGAUGCAGCGACGCCGCGUGAGGGAUGACGGCCCUCGGGUUGUAAACCUCUUUCAGCAGGGAAGAAGCGAAAGUGACGGUACCUGCAGAAGAAGCACCGGCUAACUACGUG
RNAcentral lists this ribosomal RNA (482 nucleotides) under uncultured bacterium. Its description in RNAcentral is "bacterial SSU rRNA". It matches the Rfam family "Bacterial small subunit ribosomal RNA", at positions 29 to 507 of the family's 1533-position model. The record is from RNAcentral.